AUUGAACGCUGGCGGCAGGCUUAACACAUGCAAGUCGAACGGUAACAGGGGAAAGCUUGCUUUCUUGCUGACGAGUGGCGGACGGGUGAGUAAUGCUUGGGAAUCUGGCUUAUGGAGGGGGAUAACGACGGGAAACUGUCGCUAAUACCGCGUAGAGUCGAGAGACGAAAGUGCGGGACCGCAAGGCCGCAUGCCAUGAGAUGAGCCCAAGUGGGAUUAGGUAGUUGGUAGGGUAAAGGCCUACCAAGCCGACGAUCUCUAGCUGGUCUGAGAGGAUGACCAGCCACACCGGGACUGAGACACGGCCCGGACUCCUACGGGAGGCAGCAGUGGGGAAUAUUGCGCAAUGGGGGCAACCCUGACGCAGCCAUGCCGCGUGAAUGAAGAAGGCCUUCGGGUUGUAAAGUUCUUUCGGUGACGAGGAAGGUUGUUGUGUUAAUAGCGCAACA
Molecule: ribosomal RNA, 449 nt
Filed under: Aggregatibacter sp. oral taxon 458
Lineage: Bacteria; Pseudomonadati; Pseudomonadota; Gammaproteobacteria; Pasteurellales; Pasteurellaceae
Description: bacterial SSU rRNA
Rfam family: Bacterial small subunit ribosomal RNA
Source: RNAcentral